AUUGAACGCUGGCGGCAUGCCUUACACAUGCAAGUCGAACGGUAACGCGGGGCAACCUGGCGACGAGUGGCGAACGGGUGAGUAAUACAUCGGAACGUGCCCAGUAGUGGGGGAUAGCCCGGCGAAAGCCGGAUUAAUACCGCAUACGACCUACGGGUGAAAGCGGGGGACCGCAAGGCCUCGCGCUAUUGGAGCGGCCGAUGUCAGAUUAGGUAGUUGGUGGGGUAAAGGCCUACCAGGCCUACGAUCUGUAGCUGGUCUGAGAGGACGACCAGCCACACUGGGACUGAGACACGGCCCAGACUCCUACGGGAGGCAGCAGUGGGGAAUUUUGGACAAUGGGCGCAAGCCUGAUCCAGCCAUGCCGCGUGCGGGAAGAAGGCCUUCGGGUUGUAAACCGCUUUUGUCGGGGAAGAAAUACUCCGGGCUAAUACCUGGGGGGACUGACGGUACCCGAAGAAUAAGCACCGGCUAACUACGUGCCAGCAGCCGCGGUAAUACGUAGGGUGCAAGCGUUAAUCGGAAUUACUGGGCGU
This 536-nucleotide ribosomal RNA is filed under the name uncultured bacterium. RNAcentral describes it as "bacterial SSU rRNA". It matches the Rfam family "Bacterial small subunit ribosomal RNA", at positions 28 to 561 of the family's 1533-position model. The record is from RNAcentral.